UGGGGAAUAUUGGACAAUGGGGGGAACCCUGAUCCAGCCAUGCCGCGUGUGUGAAGAAGGCCUUAUGGUUGUAAAGCACUUUAAGCGAGGAGGAGGGUACUGGUAUUAAUACUACCAGGUACUGGACGUUACUCGCAGAAUAAGCACCGGCUAACUCUGUGCCAGCAGCCGCGGUAAUACAGAGGGUGCGAGCGUUAAUCGGAUUUACUGGGCGUAAAGCGUGCGUAGGCGGCUAAUUGAGUCGGAUGUGAAAUCCCCGAGCUUAACUUGGGAAUUGCAUUCGAUACUUGUUAGCUAGAGUGUGGGAGAGGAUGGUAGAAUUCCAGGUGUAGCGGUGAAAUGCGUAGAAAUCUGGAGGAAUACCGAUGGCGAAGGCAGCCAUCUGGCAUAACACUGACGCUGAGGUACGAAAGAAUGGGGAGCAAACAGG
Molecule: ribosomal RNA, 430 nt
Filed under: Pseudomonadota bacterium
Lineage: Bacteria; Pseudomonadati; Pseudomonadota
Description: Proteobacteria bacterium partial 16S ribosomal RNA
Rfam family: Bacterial small subunit ribosomal RNA
Source: RNAcentral